AGAGUUUGAUCAUGGCUCAGAUUGAACGCUGGCGGCAGGCUUAACACAUGCAAGUCGAGCGGUAACAUUUCUAGCUUGCUAGAAGAUGACGAGCGGCGGACGGGUGAGUAAUACUUAGGAAUCUACCUAGUAGUGGGGGAUAGCUCGGGGAAACUCGAAUUAAUACCGCAUACGACCUACGGGAGAAAGGGGGCAACUUGUUGCUCUCGCUAUUAGAUGAGCCUAAGUCGGAUUAGCUAGAUGGUGGGGUAAAGGCCUACCAUGGCGACGAUCUGUAGCUGGUCUGAGAGGAUGAUCAGCCACACCGGGACUGAGACACGGCCCGGACUCCUACGGGAGGCAGCAGUGGGGAAUAUUGGACAAUGGGGGCAACCCUGAUCCAGCCAUGCCGCGUGUGUGAAGAAGGCCUUUUGGUUGUAAAGCACUUUAAGCAGUGAAGAAGACUCCAUGGUUAAUACCCAUGGACGAUGACAUUAGCUGCAGAAUAAGCACCGGCUAACUCUGUGCCAGCAGCCGCGGUAAU
Molecule: ribosomal RNA, 523 nt
Filed under: uncultured bacterium
Lineage: Bacteria
Description: bacterial SSU rRNA
Rfam family: Bacterial small subunit ribosomal RNA
Source: RNAcentral